UACUUUCGCACGCUUUUCGAAAAUGAAAUUAGAGAUGACCGAUAGUUACUUCGCUGCGUUUGAAUUAAUCAUGAAAGCGAUAUCUUCAAAAUUACAUCUGAAUUGUCCUUAUAAAAUUGAAACAAGAGGCGCAGUGAGUACGUACUUAGUGCGAGCCCGCAUAGUCCAGAUCCAGCUGGGUGAUCGGUGACCAGAUUUCACAAAAUGAAAUACGGGACAAUGCACGAGCGGAUCGACCAACCCAGCUGUUACCAUGGCAAUCAAAGUGAGAAAAAUGAUGGCAAGUUUGUGGCAAAGGAAGAGGAAGAAAGACAUACGUCAAAAGGAUAACCUGACAUCAAAGAAGUUUUAUUCCAGCUUCAGAAAAUUGCUAGUGAGCCAAGAGACAUAUCGUUUCACUUCCACCAAAAUGCUAUGGGUAUCGAUGCUGAAGAGGAUACUGCCACAAGCUAGUGGGAUACUUUCUAAAAGCUAUGUAUAACAAGGAUCAAUACCAAAGAUAAAGGAACAGGAUCAGUACCAAGGACCAGGAACAAGGAUCAGGGAUUGGACUCAGGACCAGAACCAAGGAUCAAUACUAUGGACUCAGGACCAAGACCAUGGAUCGGGACUAGAGAUCAAGACAGGACCAAGGAUCAGAACCGAGGACCAAGACUCAAGACAAGGACCAGGACCAAGAAUCAAAGCCAAGUACCUUAGAAUUCAGAGUGCAAAGAUCAAGACCAAGGACCAGGACCAAGGACAGGACUAGGGAACAGGAACAAGGAUUGGGUUCAGGACCAGGAUCAAGACCAGAAGACCAGGACAGGGAUCAAGGACCAGGGCCAAGAACAAGGAUCAAGGACCAGAACCAAGUCAUGCAUCGUGACCAAGUACCACAGAAUGCAGAUGAUCAGGACCAAGGACCAGGACUGUGGAGCUGGACCAAGGAGCAGGACCGAGGAGCAGGACCAAGGAGCAGGGCCAAGGAUCAGGACCAAGGAUCAAGACCGAGGAGCAGGACCAAGGACCAGGACCAAGCACCAGGACCAAGGAGCUGGACAGAGGAUCAGCACCGUAGAUCAGGACCAGGAACAGAGAAUCAGGAUCAAAGAUAAGCUGAAGGACCAAGGAUAGAUCAUCAGGACCAAAGACCAAGGAUAAGGACCAAGUACCAUGGAAUGCAAAAGACCGACCUCAGUGGGACCAAACCACUUCAAGAAGUGCAGGGUUGGAUUCAGUAGCCCCUCUGCCACAUGGAAG
Molecule: long non-coding RNA, 1242 nt
Filed under: Lytechinus variegatus (green sea urchin)
Lineage: Eukaryota; Metazoa; Echinodermata; Echinoidea; Temnopleuroida; Toxopneustidae
Description: uncharacterized LOC121422926, transcript variant X2
Source: RNAcentral